Molecule: ribosomal RNA, 253 nt
Filed under: uncultured bacterium
Lineage: Bacteria
Description: partial 16S ribosomal RNA
Rfam family: Bacterial small subunit ribosomal RNA
Source: RNAcentral
UACAGAGGGGGCAAGCGUUAUUCGGAAUUAUUGGGCGUAAGGGGCGCGUAGGCGGCUUGGCAAGUGGAUGGUGAAAUCCCUCGGCUUAACCGAGGAACUGCCGUCCAAACUGCUUCGCUUGAGACCGGGAGAGGUGAGUGGAAUUCCCAGUGUAGCGGUGAAAUGCGUAGAUAUUGGGAGGAACACCAGUGGCGAAGGCGGCUCACUGGACCGGUACUGACGCUGAUGCGCGAAAGCGUGGGGAGCAAACAGG